Molecule: ribosomal RNA, 253 nt
Filed under: uncultured bacterium
Lineage: Bacteria
Description: partial 16S ribosomal RNA
Rfam family: Bacterial small subunit ribosomal RNA
Source: RNAcentral
GACAGAGGGUGCAAACGUUGCUCGGAGUUACUGGGCGUAAAGCGCGUGUAGGCGGUGCCGCACGUCCGAUGUGAAAGCCCGGGGCUCAACCCCGGAAGUGCAUUGGAUACGACGGCGCUGGAGUCCUGAAGAGAAGGGCGGAAUUCCCGGUGUAGAGGUGAAAUUCGUAGAUAUCGGGAGGAACACCAGUGGCGAAGGCGGCUCUCUGGACAGGAACUGACGCUGAGACGCGAAAGCGUGGGUAGCAAACAGG